Molecule: ribosomal RNA, 213 nt
Filed under: uncultured bacterium
Lineage: Bacteria
Description: partial 16S ribosomal RNA
Rfam family: Bacterial small subunit ribosomal RNA
Source: RNAcentral
UCAGUUCAGAUUGCAGGCUGCAACUCGCCUGCAUGAAGUCGGAAUUGCUAGUAAUCGCAGAUCAGCAUGCUGCGGUGAAUACGUUCCCGGGCCUUGUACACACCGCCCGUCACACCAUGGGAGUCGGUAACACCCGAAGUCGGUAGCCUAACCGUAAGGAGGGCGCCGCCGAAGGUGGGAUUGAUGACUGGGGUGAAGUCGUAACAAGGUAGC